Non-coding RNA from Lactuca sativa (garden lettuce), 13975 nucleotides. The record is from RefSeq and is a predicted model, not a curated record. Lineage: Eukaryota; Viridiplantae; Streptophyta; Magnoliopsida; Asterales; Asteraceae.
UUGAACUCUUCCCAAAUAUACAAGGGCUAGGGCUUCGUUCUCUCAUAUCUGUUUCUACGCUCAAGAAUCGCUCAAAAUAUGCUUUUGCUCUACGAUCUAUGCUGCUGACAAGCCGAUUGGUCUUUGAAUGAGUUGAUUUUAGCCGCUGAACGAGAUUAAGUAGUUUUUCCUUCCUAAUUUCUUUCUUAAUCGGCACACAUGGAGGUGACUUUCAAGGAACCACAUGUAAAAUUAGGUCGUCUGUCACCAGAACUUUGAGAGCACUUUCUCUAUCGAUGAGUUCUUGUCCGACCGAUGGAAGAUAUCCUCCAACAUCAUCUGCUCCUCCGGAACCCCUCCAACAUCUAUCCUUGUUACUUGUGAAGGUUAGUUCUUCUUUCGUUCUAAAAUCAUUUGAUUAUUUGAUUUUAAAUAAUGUGAACCUACUAACUGAUUUUACCUUAUUAGGGAAUAUGAUUUAACAUGUUUAGAACUUAUUUGUUAAGUUAUUAAGCAUUUUUAAUUUGGAUGAGAUCUUAUUUCCAUCUUGUUUUCUUAUGAGAAAGGUCAAGGAGCACACUUCUACUUUCCCAUGAAAAUGCCCAGUUAAGAAUUUAAUAUUUUUUUCUUGUCCUUAUAGCUUGGUUAUUUGUAUGUUGCAUUGAAGGAUUCCUUAGUAAAAUAGAUGCAUUAUGAGCUUCAAGAGACCAACAAACAAUGUGAUUCAACAUUAGUUUCUACGAAUCUUACCAUGGCUUCUUUGGGAAGCCUUUAAUAGGUACAAAUCUUUAUAUCAAAUUUCAAAUGUUUGAUAAAAAAAUGGAAUCUUUGUUAUCUAUUUACUUGUUAUGGUCUGUUGUUUAGUCGUUUUUGUGGAAAUUGACCAUGUCUAAAAUAAAUAUGUUAAAAGAAAGGUCAGGUUAUGCAUAAUGGUAAUUUAAACUGAACAAAUUUCACAAUUUUACUUUCUAUCAUAACCACCAAUGUUCAUUAGCCCACCUGUUGUUCAGUGGACCUCAGGUUAAUGCACAAGUUCACAAGACACAAUGAAUACAACCACAACCGUUUUAGUUUUUUGAACCAGGAGUUUCAUAUGAGUUGCUAAAACUUAACCCUAAAUUCGAACUUUUUGAUCAAGAACUUGUAGGUAAUGAAAAAUAUGUCAUUCUUCUUUUUCCAUUACAUUUUUUACGUUACAAAUCAUACAAAGAUACGUAAUUCCAAGAAACUGAUGAAGCAAGAUAGAAGUAAUUUUCAUUCAUGAACAACUUCAAGAAGAGAGCAAUAACGGUGAAAAGAGAUUCAAAAUUUAGGGUUUUUACCUUUAUUCCCUUCCGUUUAUUCUUUUCUAAUUAAAAAUUGACAAAAAUAUACAUCAUAAAUGGAUUGGUUGGACAGUAGUAGAUGCAUCUACAGGAAGAAGGGUCAAAAACUGCUUAAUAGUACGUUAUCAAAUAAUAGUUUUUUUAAGUUAUUAUGCAGAUUGGAGCAGUUGUGGUUGGACAUGAUACAAAUGUAAACUAUGAAAAAAUACAGUAAGAUACCCCAUUUACUCAUUUUAAUAACAUCUUAUAUACCUAGUGUUCUUGAAUUAUAUCUAUUUUUUGAAGUUAAAUUUAUAAAAAGAUGUAAGUGGUGAGUAAUUUGCAGGUAUGCAACUCUUUGCAUUCGUGAGAAUCCAAGAUGCAUUUUCAUUGCUACUAAUAGCGAUAUCACUAUCAAUAUGAUUGAUUUACAACUCUUUGGGUGUGAAGGUUUGACUUUGUUGAUUUAAGGGUCAUAUGGUAAUUAAGUGUAAUGUGUUGCAUUGUUAGGUGUUGGGUGCAUGGUUGUUGCUGUUUGUGGGGCAGCAGAGAAAGAGCUAAAUGUAUUUGGAAAACACCAACCUUUUUGAUGGAUUUAUUACAAAAGAUGUCAUUUUUGUACUAGUGGGGAUUGUUCGAGGGAGCAGUGGCGGCGCUUACGCCAGCCACCUUGAGGAUUACUGAUGGCCUCCAGGGCAAGGCGGAGGCUCCUGUGGCAAAGAACAAGGUUUUUUAACCGACCACCGAUGAGGCCCGUGCAGCGUCGGAUGUGGUUACUGGUGUUACAUGUUUGCAAAAGAAAUCAAAUAUAAAAUGGCGAUCCAAAAUAUGUUACUAACGCCAGUGCGUUAGUCUUCAGAAGUAGUUGCUACCUGGCUAGCGGUUUCCUGUGAAUACAAGUUAUUUCAAAGAAAAAAUGUCAACAUUUAAGUUGGUGAGUUCAUAAGUAGUGUUUUGAGAAGAUGUAUGCCAUUCGAAAGUGUUUGCAUGUUUUCCAGAAAAACCCUUAUUUUCCCUAUAAAAGUAUGAGAUGCAUAUGGAUGUUCAUGAUGUAAAUUGCAACUAUUUGUACCGAGAAAAUCCCUUAUUUUCCUAUUAGUUGUUUGUUUUGUAUACAGGAAAAACCCUUAUUUUCCUGACAUAACUGGCAGUCUUGAAGACCGAAAAUUGCAAGCAAGCGACGUGCUUGUAAGUCGUGUCAUAGUUUUACAUAGUAAAGCUAUACGAAAAUCACCCUUAUUAAAUGAAGAGUAGUUUUAAUGACUACUUGUUCAUAAAAGCAUAAUACCAUAAUAAUUGUAUAUCCGAUGAGUUUUAUAACCAUACUAAACAUAAUAUGCCUGUAGCGACGUUCUUCAGGCGUCGUAGCGUUAUGACAACUGUCACCCCAAAAGACGGACUGUAGCUAACAGUCAGGGCGCGGGAUCAUGACUUCCCGUAUAGAUCUAUACACAUUUGACACGUUCUCCGAACGGGAGACUCUGGUUAUAGACAGGACUUGUAGCAUUAUUUUCUAAUAAAGAAAGUAACGUUUGAAGAUAUACACGACUCAUGGAUUCUCAACUAAGUCCAUAAUAAGGUAGUAGUUUGUAUGCAAAGAUUAACCUCUUUCACAAUGUUUGACAAAGCAUAAUCAUAAGUUCUUUGAAUGCAUGAAAUGACUUAGUAAAGAAUGUUACCCUUGAUAUGAUGUGUUUGUAUGUAAACGUAUAAAUAAAACAUAUUUCUAUUUAUAAACAUAUUAUAUCCCAAAGAGGGUAAAGCUGUGUUGUGAGGGGUUUUGUAUCAUAAUAACUUCACAAGAUAGUUAAAACAACAGUAUGAACAGUAUAUCAAAAGGUUAAUGUUUCACACGAAUUUAGUCAUGUGUUAACUUGUAUUCCUCCCCAAAAAGAGUAUAAAACAUUUAAAAUGUAUUUAAAGAGUGUUCAAAGGGGAUAUGAACUCACUUGAUAGUUUGAAGAUUGUGAGGUGGAAAACCGAGCAGAGUUUCGUCUCGGGAAACUGAUUUUUCUUGGGAUUCUCGGGAAUCUCGGGAGUAGAAUCGGCCUUCGGGACUUGAGCCAAAAAGACCAGAGCUUCGGGUUUGAACGGACACGGAAAACGAGGAAAUGCUGAGAGAGAGAGAAGAGAAAUGAACCCUUUCUUUGGAAACCCUCGCAUUCUAUUUAUAGGAAGGCAGGUCUGCCUCGGUACGCGGGGCGUACGCUCGUACGCGCUGCGUACGCGUACGUCAUGCAUGACCGAAGCCUCGACUGCCUCGGUUCGGAUGGGACGGGUUCUUGGGUUCUCGGGUCGGAUGGGACGGGUUGCUGGGGAGGUGGGUCGGAUGGGACGCCGGGUCGGAUGGGACGUCGGGUCGGACGGGUCGGCUUCCUCGGAUAUGGCGACGUGGACGAUCCGAGGCCAAUCCUCUCGGUUACGCGGGGCGUACAGGAGUACGCAGCGCGUACUUCGGAGAAGGACGCUGACUCCUCUUCGGAUAAUAUCCGAAUUUUGAAUUAAAUAAAUAAUUAAUUUAUUUAAUAAACUUCAAAAAUCCAUAUCUUCUUCAUACGAACUCCGUUUUCGAUGGUCUUUAUAUCCACGCGUAGGUGAGACUACGAUCUACGACUUUCGUUUAGACUCCGUUGGCAAAUUCCAAAAUUAUUUUUAUUAUUUAUUUUAUAACUAAUCGUUUUUAAGGAAUUUCUUUGAAAAAUCAUAACUUCCUCAUGCGAAGUCAGAUUUGGACGUUCUUUUUGUGUACGCUCACGGUUUAAUGUUAUCUAUGACUUUCAUUUAGAUACCUAAGGCUAAAUGUUAUCGUAUUGAAACUUUGCGUUUUUCGUUUGAUCGGUGUUGUCGGUUUUGACAGAAAUCUUAGAAUGGUCAUAGCUUCUUCGCCAUAACUCAGAUUUUAGUGUUCUUUAUUUAUUUGGAACCUUUAAGACGAUAUCUACUACAUAGCGUACUCCAAAUCAGAGCUUUUGAACAAUUCAUUUAUCGAUGAUAUUCCCAUUACAUUCAAAAGGGGUUACAAGACUCGGUUUAUAAUGCCCGGGAUAACGGGUUGUUACAUUUUUGGGUUGAACUGAUAUGUUUAGGGAAAGAUUACGAUCCUUUGACGCCUGUGGUUGCAUUCUCACAACGGUUUUUCUCAAAUGAUGUGGAUGAUUAGUCCUUGUUACCAUUUGGUAAACAUGUACAACCUCUUAUGUAAGUGUUAUCAUGCUUGAUUUGUAAAAAAGGUUCUAAUAGUUUUUUUCAUAGUCAACUUCCUUCACUUCAUUGAUAAUGUUUUAGAAACAACUACAUUGUUUGGUGAGUAAAGAAAGAGAGAUCACUACAUCAUUGCAUAAGCCAUGGCCUAUCUCUUGUGCUGACUUGAUGGAUUUUGAUUAUCCUUUUGGAGUUUGAUGACAUUGCCCUUGCCUUGGAUGUAUCUUAUUUGGACCUUUUUCCCAGCUCUAGAGGUGAUGGUGCGAACUACACGCACUCCAGGUAUAGAGGAUGACUCAUCCAUCCUGAACUCUUGGGACACCAACUCCAUCUUAGUGAAAAUUUGUGGCCCUAAUCGCAUGCUCCUUGGUGGGGUAUAGUUGACUAUGGGUUUGCACGUAGCUAGACCCAUUCUUUUUCAAAUGCCUAGUCUUUUGCCUCAGAGCUUUCCACUUGCAUACAACAAGUGUGGUGAUUUUUGGUGUUUCCCCUGUGGGCGGCUUGGCUGAGUCUAACCAUCUCAUGUUUCCCAUUAAGUAUGCUCAUGCUUGGACUUUGCUCCACUUUGUUGGUGGUUGCACCAAAGUUUGGUGCUUGCAACGACAUGUUUGCAAUCCCAAUUAGGGAUAUUGCUUUUUCCCCUUGUAUCGUAUUGAAGGGUAUUCCUUUGACGUCUGGCCUUAGGUCCUGACGAUGGAGCUGAGGCAUUAUUGGUAGUUCUCCGACCUAGGAUUUUUUCGACCCUGAUGGAUGCUUACCUAUCAUCCUCCUAAUGAAACGGGCGGGGUGACUAGAGGGAAAAUGGCUCUACCUGGGGUGAUCGGAGGUGGCCCUCUAGUGUUAAUACCCCAUUGACCGAUGGUUAUUGGUCAAAGUCAUGGCGUGUUGUCGUAUAGAAGGAAUGAGCACCUGGUAUUCUAGGCAUUGCUCAGCAGCAACUUCCAGGAUUUCGGUCUUGUCUUUGAGUGCGAUGGGCUAACGUUCUCCUAGGAAAGACAUCAUUACGUCAAUGGCUCUUGGGCCUCCUUAUUUUGGUUCGUUUUCUUGAUUCUUUUCUACAGGAAAGUAUCUUUCUUUUCCUUGCUGCACCUUCUUUAUUGUGAGUCGUGCAAUUUUUAUGUUGGCCCUCUUGUCGUUUGGGGGAUCGCUUGGAUCUAUUGGAUAUUUAUGUGGCAUUGGUGAUCUAUUAUGUGUCGACGUCUCUUCCCUAGAGAGCUUCAGUUGGUACCUUCUUGGUUUGGUUGUCGAAAGGUGCUAAGGGCAGCCUGUUCAGAGUGUCAGUAUCUACGACUUUCUCUCAGGGAUCUUCUCGACUUUCGGAUCCCCAAUGGAUCGUGUCAAUUCUUGCUCUACGUUUUGGUAUCUUCCGCCCUUCUGAUUUCUAGCUAUAUGGGUGACAUCAACCCUAUCAGUUCCUAUUCCAAGUCUUUCUUUGUUUGUUGUUUCAUUUUCCAGUGAGGGGCUUUUAAAUCUUGCUCUAAUUCAAAGUGAUUUCUACUUGGUCAUCCAAAUAUUGACCCUUCCCCUCCUUUAGAAUGAACUCAUCUGGACUUGGCAUUGUCUGUCUUCUCGUGGUAUUGUGGAGUAGAACUGCCUCGCUAAGGUCAAGGUACUCGAUGCGCUUUCGCUGUGGCUUGCCAUGUUUUCUUGUUGCCAUUCGGUUUGUAACCGGCUAGGGAGAUCGGUUCCCUAGGAGUGCUUCCACCCACUGGCCUUACGACUUUAGGUUUUGUUGUCAUGUUUUUCUCAUCUAUUUGCCCCCCUUUUUGUUUAUCGAUUGAGGCUUGCGCUAGCCUUGGGACAGCUCGGGUCUGGUAGUAACAGCGUGCGCUUAGGCUGAAGGCAACAAUAGUGGUUAAUCCAGUGCUCAUGCUAAACUUCAGAGUGUCGUGAAUCGUUGAUAGUAUGGCUUGUAGUUAGAAAAGCGUCGGUUGCCCGAGCAGAAUGUUUUGUUUUGUUGGGGAGCGUACUACUGAAAACCUUAUCGCACAUGUGACCUAGUCUUUCCCGUUAUUACUAGUUAUAGUAAGAGGGAGAUAUAUCGUUCCUACCGGCCAUAAGUUAUUCCCUAAAAACCUUGUGAGGGGACCAAUGGUUAGAGGCGUUAAGAUUUCCUUCUAGGAGGCCGAAAAUUAUUGGAAACAAUUCUCUUAGAGGAUGUUGGUGCCGCUGCCAUUGUCUAUGUAGACACGGUUGACUUGUAUUUGACAUAUGCAGGCGGUUAUCAAGAGCGGAUUCCUGGGGUUCUAGCCUAGCAUCCUCGGAUCUUCUGACGAAAAACUAACAUUGAGGAUAUUUUUAGGGAGUACCUCAAUGUCGUCAUUCAUUUCACAGCACUCAUUCCUCUUAAUGGGCCUCGUGAUGGUAAGGAUCUCCUCCUUAACUUGGCGCUUGCUGACAUCUUUCCAAUCUUGGGCAUUCUUCUGGUCAGCGUCAAACUUGGACCUCAAAUCCUUUACAAUUUCCAUUAGGUCGCCCGUUAGAUGUUUGUCAUCCAUUUCCUUCCUCGAAUCAUGCACUUGCCGUAUCAUGGAUUUUGCUCUUGUGGUACUUACAAAAUUUUCCUUUCUCUUUGUCCACCUUUGGAGGUGUUUUCUCAACUACAUGCACCUCAGUUCAGUGGCUUCUACGCUCAUCUUUACGAAAUGGACGAAACCUGUUAGGUGGGUGUCUUGAGUGCCGGUUGUGCUUGUCCUGGUGGUCUCGGUGGUUGAGGCUUACGCGGGAGUUUGCUUCUUCUUUCUUGAUGUACACAUUUGUUACAGGCUUUAGGUUAGUGUCCUUCCAUUCCUCAGCCUUGAUCUGUCGGAGAUAUUUCUUGACUUUGUAUUUGAGCUCAUCUCUCAACUAAGGUGACAUCCCCUUCAUCUUCUUUGACAAAGUCGGGGACUAGACCUUGAGCGAAGUUUCCAGUUAAAAGGAACUCUUCAUGCCCCAGACGUUGAGCGUCGCUAGCGUGAAUCUAUUGUAAUAUGCCCGUAUCGACUCUCCUUCAUUUUUCAUACAUGCCAUUAUAGAGUUUUCAUCUCCCUUCCCUUUCCUCAAUUGCAUGAAAUUGUUGAGGAAAAGGAAUCAUAACUACUCGAAACUCGAGAUGUUGCUCGGUCACAGCACCUUGAACCAUUUUCUGGCGUUUCCUAAUAACGUAAAAUGGAAAUACGUACAAAUGAACGGCUUGUCCAUCCUCAGUGAUGUCAUUGUCCAUUCAUUGGUGACGAUGUGCUCAUCGGGGUCGGUUGUGUCGUCAUACUUGGGGAUGUUUGGUAUCAUCCCCUAGUGUGGGAUCUCAUGCUACAAGAGCUCCUGAAAAAAAACAGAGUUGGUGCUUCUCAUCGGAUUUUCCUUGAGAGAGUAUGGAAAACGACUGUACAUCAUAAACUAUUAAGAGAAAUACAGGUUCCUAUAUGCUUGGUUGUACAUUGCUGCUUGAAAGAUGUAUGGUUGCUGCUGGGAGCUCGAUUGUGUGCUUUGCUGCAGUUGUGAGCUUGCUUCGGGCUUCUAGACCAUGCUCUGAAUUAACCCCUAGGGGUUGGUGAGUGAAGGUAUUGAACUACUGUGCUAAUAACAAGUGAGGGAUAGAUUCUUGCGAUGGUGGUGUUUGGGGGUUGGAUCUGUGCAACUACUAGAAAUAGGGGUUGAACAUUGGAGGUUGUUGAGUGAAAAGCGAAAUAUGUGACAUUCCUGAUACUAGAGAUAAUAGAUAAACUAACAUUAGGUAUUGUGUUGAGGACAAUAUGGUCUUUUCCUAUUGCGGUAGCAAUUGCGGCUGGGAAACCGUCGGUUGCCACUAUUGAGUCGACAGUUGUGACUGUCGGGUCAGUGGUUGCGACUGUCGAGUCGCUGUCGAAUGCAAUGUUGCAUUCGUGGUUGUAACCGACUGCUUUGUUGUGACGGGUGACGGUCACCGUAGGUCGGCGAUUGCGGCCACUGUGGUUCCUAUUAUUAGAUUUGGCAUUUGUGUUGUUGGCGUAUGGGUGGAGGCUUGUCCGUCUGAGGCAGAUUGUUGUGUUCCAUCAAGCGACAACAUUGAUCUGAGUGGGCUCGUUUCUUUCUUGCAAAACUCCGCAGGUGCCUUUCCCGUCAUUGCCUCCAUCUAGGGUCGUUUUAAGGUUAUGUAACUAUGAGUACAUGCCCGGAUGACGCCAACUAUAUUGAUAUGUAUGCAAGCUUAACAUGUGUUUGUGGUGUUUUCGUCUGAGUUAAGCCUGAAAAUCAAAACAAUGAAAGAACUGACAUAUGUCGUCAUCCGGGAGGCAGUCUCGGAAAGAGGCUCCGACAGUCAAGUCAGUAACUAGAUGAGAGAAUUAGGCUUUAGCUUUAGAUAGAGAAAUAGGUGAUCCGGUCUUCUAGAGAAGAAUGAUCUCUUUUGUACCUUUCGUUGAGGGAGGAUGUCCCCAAUAGUACCUUUUGUCUUGUCUGGACCACCAGGACGUUGAGGCGUCCUAUUAGUGGAUCAUACACCACUAGAGGUUAUCUGCUAUUGAUGCAGAACCGUCGACGAGUAGCACUCUGAGCGCUACACUUAUCGAUCUAAGGAAUGGUUGAUAUUGUUUUGGCUUGUUGUGGACCAGAGCCUCUCAUUCUAAAUUUCACCUUGGAACUAGAGCGUCGGGGUCUAAAUGCGAGACCGCGAGGGCGAGGGCCUGGACCUAGCACUUACACUGGGUAGCGACCAUUAAUUAGGUCAUCCUAUAUAUAACUGUCUCAUUUCCCAGAGAGAUACAUUAACACACACACACACACACACACACACACACACAUAUAUAUAUAUAUAUAUAUAUAUAUAUAUAUAUAUAUAUAUAUAUAUAUAUAUAUAUAUAUAACAUUGACCUCCGGGAUCUCUUCUGGACUUUGCUACGGCAGAGAUCUGAACAUCACAGAGCAAAGUUGUUAGAACUGCCCCAAGGACUGUGCCCCAGGAGCAGGCUCCGGCGAUCAGGUUAGAUCAGCUGGUAGAGAUGAUAUUGUUCUCCUUAACUGGAGAGAACCAUCUCGGUGUUGGGGGUAGUGUAUGGAAGUUGUACGAAUGGCAUGUAGUUGAGCCAGAUGGAAGGUCCGAGAUGGUAGAUGAGCCACUGAGAAAAGUCUCUCUCCAAGGAGGAGGCACUAUUCACUUCAUAAGGGUCAAUUAGGUUAAGGGGAAUUAGGUUAGGCCUUGGGCCAGUCCAAUUCAAGACCAUGUAGCAAGGAGCUGGGUAAGGCCGCCCGGAAGCCCUAAACGAGGCUGGCGGGCACACACCUAAUAAAGAUGGAAGGUGAGCAUCGGGCAGGGCUGACAGGAGAGCGUCAGGAAAGACUGACAAGAGAGAGCCAAACAUGGAUAGCAAGGGAGCACUUGGAAAGGCCUCAUGACAUGAGAUCUUAGGAGUCACAUCAUGAGUGACCAUUAACUCGUUGACCAAUAUUUUUGGAGUUUCACGGCGUGAUACAUAAGGUCUCACGACGUGUGUAUGGAUUAAUGACCCUAAACCAUGAUUUUCAAGUAUUUAAUGGAAUGAGAGGCUAGGGUUACCCAUCCUCAGCUUCUCUCACCCUCUAAGCCUCUAGAGACCCUAGAUUUCGUGUCAUAUUGAGUUAUUUGGUAUUUUGCUUAUGGAAAGGAAGGAAAAAGAGAGAAAAAGAAGCAUAUUAGGAAGGAAGUUUCUUGCGAUCUUCAUCAUCAUCAUCUCUCAUCUUGUUUGGACCAUUGUAAGUAUCAAGACUCAAGAUUUACUUCAUUUCAUGUCUAGAUCUAGGUUUUUGGUCCAUUUCCUAUGUUUUGGCUUGAUUAGAAUGGAGUAGAUCCAUAAAGUUAGCAACUUUAUGGAUUCAAAUGGUCUUUUGAGUCUUAUAUCAUUUAGGUCUGGGAUUUUGUGGAGUAAUAGAGCUUGCAUGAGGACUUGAGGCCAUAUUUACAUUUUUAACCUAAAAUGGUGAAGGGACAUACAUGGUGCAUGCAUGUCCAUAAAGAAAGCAUUUUUACGGACCAUUAGAGUCUCCUUUAACUUCUGGAAGGGGUGAAAUUAAGGGCCGAAUGGAUUAAGAACGUUGAAAAGGUGGUUUUGGCUUCAGACUAUUCUCACGACGUAAGACAUAAGGUCUCAUGACGUGAGCAUGAGUCACCAUCCCCGCUGAGUCGUCUAAGUCAGGAGUGAGUCUUGGAAUCAGAUCGGACACAUCUCACGAUGUGACCAAGGAUUGGUCAUGAUGUGAGGUGUUGUUUUGGGCUUUUGGUUCUUAAUGGGCCACUAGUAUCUGACUUUGAGUGUUACUAUAUUUCGGGGCCCGUUUGGAGCAUUAGGUGUUAUUUAGGGUUUUGGGCCUUCUUGGAUUAGGCCCAUGAUGGAUUUUGGGCCCACUUAGGGAGAUGGGUCACUAUUGGGCUUUUUGGUGUUAAUGGGUCGGGCCUUGGUUUUGGGUCAAGUAAGGAAAGGGUAAAAUGGUCUUUUACCAUGGAUAAUGGGUAGGUGAUUUAGAUUCUUGGUUAUAGGUUAAGACCCAAUUAUUAAUUGGGUAUUGUUUGAUGGUGUUAGCGUGGAGAUUUUCCGGAUCAACAGAUCGAUAUUCUAUCUGGGGGAUUCAGUAGCUUGAGGUAAGUUUCCUCACUGUGUUUAGCAGGUCGAAGGCACCAAUGCUGGCACAUGGUUUAUUAUGUUUAGGAUACUUGUUGUCUGUGUGACUCUUGCAUGUGUUAUGCGUUUAUAUGUAUAUCGGGCGGGGCCUAAUGAUAAUAUUGUAUGCUAUUUAUCUUUGCGAUUUCUGCAUGUGUUUAUAUGUUUUUAUGUAUACCAAGUGGGGCCUGAUGUCAGGCAGGGUCUGAUGACUGACAAAUCUGUUCCGAGUGGGGCUCGAUGCCGAGCGGGGCCCGAUGAUGGGCAGGGUCCAUUAUAUGUUUGAUAUAUAUGGUAUGUGCUAUUUUUGGGAACUCACUAAGCUUUGUGCUUACAAUUUUCAGUUUAUGUUUUAGAUACUUCUAGUUCAAAGGGGAAGAGUCUAGGAUGAUUGCAGUGCACAAACCACAUUGUUCCAGAUUUUAAAUUAUUCUGAUGCACUUGGAUGUUUAUUAAUAUACUUUGAUUCACCAUGGUUUCUAUGAUGUUGUUUUGGAUAAUGGUUUUAUUAAUUUAAAAAUCAAAAUUUUUAGUCUUACUUUUUGGGACAUUACAAGUUUGUAUUUAGAGCCUUAGUUUGAGGGAUUCGGACUUACUCUCGGGUCUGUUUGAACUCAAACUGAGGGUUUGGUAGAAUUUUCAAAAAGAAAAGUUUUAUAAAAAGAAUUUUCUAAUAAAUGAAAAAGGGGUUUGGUGCAUGUAAUCGACCGAGCUAGAGUAAGUUUUCCCAAAAUACCCGUACAAGUUUUAUGAUAUGCUUUGAUUUGUAAAUUUGUGAAUCGCAUGUUAUUUAGGGCAAAGGAUCUGCUCAGGAAUUUCAUGAUAGAAUGCUUGGAGAGAUGCCUUUAUAUGUCUGAUGUAUGAGCUCGUAGACUUGCAUGCUAGUACUGAUCAAUAAAUGAUAGGAUGGCUUGUUUAGGUUAUGCUUAAUUCCGAUUACUCAAUGCUCAAAUGUUGCUUGCUUUGUGAUUUCUAGGAGUUCUCAUUAACUUCAACUAACUAAUAAGCAAAUAUGCUAAGUUACAGAUUAUUGAAACUAAAUAAUUUUAGAAGGUUAGGUUUUAACUCUAUUGUGUAUCUCUUGUUUGAGUCCAACCGUUGUAGUGUGAGACCUUUCAUUCGAAAAUUUAUCUAGUGUAGGUGAUGUGUAUAUUUAUUCAUGAAAUAGCUAGAGGGUGUUAGUGGGAGUUCCCUCUACAUCUGAUGGCGGAGAGUGGUGUGAUGAUUGCACUAGGAAAACCUAGGAAGAAAUUUAGUGUUGGGAGUCUUGUCUUGUUGUGGAUUAUAUAUGGAUAAGGAGUGACUUGGAGGACUCACAACAAUCCUUGAGGAAAGUAUGGAUACAUGUGGAAGAUAGUAUGGGCCCGUACUACCAGAAGCAGAGAAUCCAUACUCGAACCAAAGAGAGCUGCGAUGAUACCAGGAAGCUUAUAGAGUAUGAGACUCUUCGAUGUAUAUUUAUGCGUUUUCUGAUGAUUUGAAUGGUCAAUUUUCAGUAUGUUGACUCUUUGAAGAAGACCAGUUAGUGGUUCUGGUGCUGGUGAGGGUUCAGGCUUAGGUUUUGGAGCCGAACAGUUGGAUGAUUAGAUGUGGGAGUUCGUUUUGUCUGAGAUUACCCGCAACAUACUUAAGCAGACUCAUGUGAUCCUUGCUAGGGUCAGGGAGGGAAUUAUGGAGAUUUUUGGAUGAGCAUUUGAGCUCUUUUCAGUCUAAGAUGGUGGAAUUGAUGAGAGCUCGCACAUUGACCUUGCGUUAAUUCCGAGCAUGCGGGGUUCAAGAGUACUUCGAGGAGAAGGGCCCAAUCGCGAGCAGAUGGUGGUUAGUAGAUAUCGCUAAUGCCUUUCGUACUAGCAGUUUCCCCGUUGGGGGAAGAGGUCAGACUUGCUUCUUGCCUUCUGAAAGAGAGAGCUCAAGAUAUUUGGGAGGAGGUUGGGCGCUCUGUGGGUGAUGCAUCAGUUGAUAUGAUGACAUGAGAUGAUUUUGUGACUAGAUUUCAAGCUGAGUUUGCACCGGUGAUUGAGGUGCAACAAGUGGCAACGGAGUUCCAGGACCGUCACCAUACUAUUAAGAUGGUGGUUGAGAUCAUCGUGAUGUUCCGUGAGAGGGCUUUGUUGGUUCCACAGUAUGUGACAGAUGAAGAGAUGAAGAAGGCAAGAUACCCUGAGAUGUUGAGGAGCGAUAUUCGGUAGUUCAUGAACUGAUCCUGUUGCAAGACACUGGAGGGUAUGAUUGCAGGAAACAAAGAGAGAAGUAUUGAUCUAGAGAUGGAGAGGAAGAGGAAUCCGGAUCAGGGUCAGGGUUCAACAGGUUCGAGCAAGAGGACCAAUGUAUUUGAUUCGAGAUCGAGAGGCCAAUAGGGCUGGAGCCACUGUGGCAAGUGCAACAAGAUGCACGAUGGGGCGUGCAGGGUGGGUGGUUCUGGAUGCUUCAAGUGAAGCCAAAUGGGUCAUAUUAGCAGGGAUUACACUGCUACUACGAUCAUCACCACCCCGAUAUCUGAUAUGAUUUGCUUCCAUUGCAAUCAGAGGGGCCAUAAGAAGUCCAAUUAUCCAAGUUUAGCAGAAACAGGACUAGUAGUAGCACACGUUCUAGAGACUUUACAGAUUACUGAUGGCCUCCAGGGCAAGGCGGAUGCGCCUGUGGUGAGGAUUAGGGAUUUUCAGCUGCCAUCCGAGGAGGCUCGCAUAGCACCUGAUGUGGUAACCGGUACAUCUGAGCCCAAGGGCAAAGUCAAGGCUUGAUGGCGCGAUGUGCACUCUCUCAACGAUAUUUUUUGGGACAUUAUGAUGUUUUUAAAUAAUGUUGUAAUGCAUGUGGAUUUGAAAAAAAUUGUUUUGGGAUUUCAUGGUUUAUGGAAAUGUGUUUGAUUAAUUAAUAAUGAAAACUUUGAAAAUUUGGGUC